RNAcentral lists this ribosomal RNA (385 nucleotides) under uncultured cyanobacterium. RNAcentral describes it as "bacterial SSU rRNA". It matches the Rfam family "Bacterial small subunit ribosomal RNA", at positions 370 to 770 of the family's 1533-position model. Lineage: Bacteria; Bacillati; Cyanobacteriota. The record is from RNAcentral.
AAUGGGCGCAAGCCUGACGGAGCAACGCCGCGUGUGGGAUGAAGGCCUGUGGGUUGUAAACCACUUUUCUCAGGGACGAAGUUCUGACGGUACCUGAGGAAUCAGCCUCGGCUAACUCUGUGCCAGCAGCCGCGGUAAGACAGAGGAGGCAAGCGUUAUCCGGAAUUAUUGGGCGUAAAGCGUCCGUAGGUGGUUUGACAAGUCUGGGGUCAAAGCCCGGAGCCCAACUCCGGAUCGGCCUUGGAAACUGUCAGACUGGAGUAAGGUAGGGGUUGCGGGAAUUCCCGGUGUAGCGGUGAAAUGCGUAGAUAUCGGGAAGAACACCAGCGGCGAAAGCGCGCAACUGGGCCAUUACUGACACUGAGGGACGAAAGCUAGGGGAGCG